Molecule: ribosomal RNA, 735 nt
Filed under: Lactococcus lactis
Lineage: Bacteria; Bacillati; Bacillota; Bacilli; Lactobacillales; Streptococcaceae
Description: bacterial SSU rRNA
Rfam family: Bacterial small subunit ribosomal RNA
Source: RNAcentral
GGGGACAACAUUUGGAAACGAAUGCUAAUACCGCAUAACAACUUUAAACACAAGUUUUAAGUUUGAAAGAUGCAAUUGCAUCACUCAAAGAUGAUCCCGCGUUGUAUUAGCUAGUUGGUGAGGUAAAGGCCCACCAAGGCGAUGAUACAUAGCCGACCUGAGAGGGUGAUCGGCCACAUUGGGACUGAGACACGGCCCAAACUCCUACGGGAGGCAGCAGUAGGGAAUCUUCGGCAAUGGACGAAAGUCUGACCGAGCAACGCCGCGUGAGUGAAGAAGGUUUUCGGAUCGUAAAACUCUGUUGGUAGAGAAGAACGUUGGUGAGAGUGGAAAGCUCAUCAAGUGACGGUAACUACCCAGAAAGGGACGGCUAACUACGUGCCAGCAGCCGCGGUAAUACGUAGGUCCCGAGCGUUGUCCGGAUUUAUUGGGCGUAAAGCGAGCGCAGGUGGUUUAUUAAGUCUGGUGUAAAAGGCAGUGGCUCAACCAUUGUAUGCAUUGGAAACUGGUAGACUUGAGUGCAGGAGAGGAGAGUGGAAUUCCAUGUGUAGCGGUGAAAUGCGUAGAUAUAUGGAGGAACACCGGUGGCGAAAGCGGCUCUCUGGCCUGUAACUGACACUGAGGCUCGAAAGCGUGGGGAGCAAACAGGAUUAGAUACCCUGGUAGUCCACGCCGUAAACGAUGAGUGCUAGAUGUAGGGAGCUAUAAGUUCUCUGUAUCGCAGCUAACGCAAUA